RNAcentral lists this ribosomal RNA (385 nucleotides) under Clostridioides difficile. RNAcentral's name for it is "bacterial SSU rRNA". It matches the Rfam family "Bacterial small subunit ribosomal RNA", at positions 635 to 1019 of the family's 1533-position model. Lineage: Bacteria; Bacillati; Bacillota; Clostridia; Peptostreptococcales; Peptostreptococcaceae. The record is from RNAcentral.
GGGAGACUUGAGUGCAGGAGAGGAGAGUGGAAUUCCUAGUGUAGCGGUGAAAUGCGUAGAUAUUAGGAGGAACACCAGUUGCGAAGGCGGCUCGCUGGACUGUAACUGACGCUGAGGCACGAAAGCGGGGGGAGCAAACAGGAUUAGAUACCCUGGUAGUCCACGCUGUAAACGAUGAGUACUAGGUGUCGGGGGUUACCCCCCUCGGUGCCGCAGCUAACGCAUUAAGUACUCCGCCUGGGAAGUACGCUCGAAAGAGUGAAACUCAAAGGAAUUGACGGGGACCCGCACAAGUAGCGGAGCAUGUGGUUUAAUUCGAAGCAACGCGAAGAACCUUACCUAAGCUUGACAUCCCAAUGACAUCUCCUUAAUCGGAGAGUUCCCU